This 355-nucleotide ribosomal RNA is filed under the name uncultured bacterium. RNAcentral describes it as "bacterial SSU rRNA". It matches the Rfam family "Bacterial small subunit ribosomal RNA", at positions 29 to 410 of the family's 1533-position model. The record is from RNAcentral.
AGCGAACGCUGGCGGCAGGCUUAACACAUGCAAGUCGAACGGGCGUAGCAAUACGUCAGUGGCAGACGGGUGAGUAACGCGUGGGAACGUACCUUUUGGUUCGGAACAACCCAGGGAAACUUGGGCUAAUACCGGAUAAGCCCUUACGGGGGAAAGAUUUAUCGCCGAAAGAUCGGCCCGCGUCUGAUUAGCUAGUUGGUGAGGUAACGGCUCACCAAGGCGACGAUCAGUAGCUGGUCUGAGAGGAUGAUCAGCCACAUUGGGACUGAGACACGGCCAAACUCCUACGGGAGGCAGCAGUGGGAAUAUUGGACAAUGGGCGCAAGCCUGAUCCAGCCAUGCCGCGUGAGUGAUG